This is a non-coding RNA of Fukomys damarensis (Damara mole-rat), 59 nucleotides long. The record is from Rfam. Lineage: Eukaryota; Metazoa; Chordata; Mammalia; Rodentia; Bathyergidae.
UGGUGCUCCUCACCCACCCGUGAAGAUCUCAGGCAGACAAGGGAACAGUCAGUGGGACC